AAAGCAGGAUCCUCCGACC
This 19-nucleotide microRNA is filed under the name Spodoptera frugiperda (fall armyworm). Its description in RNAcentral is "sfr-miR-10484-??". Lineage: Eukaryota; Metazoa; Arthropoda; Insecta; Lepidoptera; Noctuidae. The record is from miRBase by way of RNAcentral.